AAAAGAACCUGAAACCGUGUACGUACAAGCAGUGGGAGCCCCACCACUAAGCCAGUGGUGAACUCCACAUACGCAUCCUUUGCUGAGGAUACGGUUAACGGAGCGAAAGCGACGUUCAACCGCAAAACAAGCAGAGGGGGCUUAGUGGUGGGGUGACUGCGUACCUUUUGUAUAAUGGGUCAGCGACUUAUAUUCUGUAGCAAGGUUAACCGAAUAGGGGAGCCGUAGGGAAACCGAGUCUUAACCGGGCGUUAAGUUGCAGGGUAUAGACCCGAAACCCGGUGAUCUAGCCAUGGGCAGGUUGAAGGUUGGGUAACACUAACUGGAGGACCGAACCGACUAAUGUUGAAAAAUUAGCGGAUGACCUGUGGCU
RNAcentral lists this ribosomal RNA (373 nucleotides) under Salmonella enterica subsp. enterica serovar Anatum. RNAcentral describes it as "bacterial LSU rRNA". It matches the Rfam family "Bacterial large subunit ribosomal RNA", at positions 542 to 816 of the family's 2925-position model. The record is from RNAcentral. Lineage: Bacteria; Pseudomonadati; Pseudomonadota; Gammaproteobacteria; Enterobacterales; Enterobacteriaceae.